UGCAGAAUCCCGUGAACCAUCGAGUCUUUGAACGCAAGUUGCGCCCGAUGCCAUUAGGUUGAGGGCACGUCUGCCUGGGCGUCACGUAUCGAAGCCUCUUGCCAAUUUCCUAUUUGAUAGGUAUUGUGCAGGAUGAUGUUGGCCUCCCGUGAGCUCCAUCGUCUCAUGGUUGGUUGAAAAUCGAGACCUUGGUAGCGUGUGCCAUGAUAGAUGGUGGAUGUGUUACGCACGAGACCAAAUAAUCAUGUGCUGCUCUAUUGAAUUUAGCCUCUUUUACCCACAUGCGUUUCUAAACGCUCGUGAUGAGACCUCAGGUCAGGCGGGGCUACCCGCUGAAUUUAAGCAUAUCAAUAAGCGGAGGAAAAGAAACUAACAAGGAUUCCCUUAGUAACGGCGAGCGAACCGGGAUAAGCCCACCAUGAGAAUCGGUCGCCCUCGGCGUUCGA
This 446-nucleotide small RNA is filed under the name Trifolium medium. RNAcentral describes it as "eukaryotic LSU rRNA". The stretch from base 306 to 446 matches the Rfam family "Eukaryotic large subunit ribosomal RNA", at positions 1 to 141 of the family's 3401-position model. The record is from RNAcentral. Lineage: Eukaryota; Viridiplantae; Streptophyta; Magnoliopsida; Fabales; Fabaceae.